GAUGAACGUUGGCGGCGUGCCUAAUACAUGCAAGUCGAACGAAGACUGUAGUAAUACUGUCUUAGUGGCGAACGGGUGAGUAACGCGUGGGUGACCUGCCCCGAAGUGUGGGGUAACAGUUCGAAAGAACUGCUAAUACCGCAUAAUAUCCAAGAGAUUAGACGCUUUUGGAUUAAAGGAGUAAUUCGCUUCGGGAGGGGCCCGCGUCCCAUCAGCUAGUUGGUAAGGUAAUGGCUUACCAAGGCGAUGACGGGUAGGGGACCUGAGAGGGUGGCCCCCCACAAUGGAACUGAAACACGGUCCAUACACCUACGGGUGGCAGCAGUAGGGAAUAUUAGUAAUGGGCGAAAGCCUGAACUAGCAACGCCGCGUGUGCGAAGAAGGCCUUCGGGUUGUAAAGCACUUUUGUAGAGGAUGAGGAAGGACGGUACUCUCAGAAUAAGUCUACGGCUAACUACGUG
This 461-nucleotide ribosomal RNA is filed under the name uncultured bacterium. Its description in RNAcentral is "bacterial SSU rRNA". It matches the Rfam family "Bacterial small subunit ribosomal RNA", at positions 28 to 507 of the family's 1533-position model. The record is from RNAcentral.